UGGAGGAAGCAGUUGGAGCUAUGGUCUAGUGAGGGUUGGUCCCAGAAGGGAAGGCUCAGAUACUCUACUACUACUACUAAAUACAUACAUACAUACUGCCAGAUGUGGGAGGGCUGGCUAUAUAUAAAAGGUGCCUGCCGUGGACCUUAAAAGGGGGGAAAGAAGCUGUGUGGAAACGUCAUGCAACUGAAUUAAUUAAAUUAUAAAGGGAGGAAAAUUUCUAAUUAGGAGUGACACUUUAUGACAUAUCGUUACCGAAAAAGGAUUACUUCAAGUAUGAACAGCUGCAGGACAAUAAAUCGGCUAGACUCCUGGAGGAAGUGAUUAAAUGUGGAAGUAUGGCACCUGUAUGCUAUUAAUGCAUGUAAGGCAAAGGAAAAAUGCUGUUUGGAAAAGUUUCUUAGGUGGAAAGCCAUCAGAUAUAUGACCAUUUGAAUGAAGGAUUGAUAUGCAAUAAAUCAAGAAAAAAUCAACAUUUCCACCUUGUCUAAAUACACUAAAGUGAAGUAUUAUUAAUUGAGAAGGAACAGAAGUGGCAAGAGAGGCAAAAUGCCUUCAUAUUCAUGGUUCUCAAUCUCUUGCAUUACAGACAACUAUUUGUUUUCUUGGCAACACUGGA
This is a long non-coding RNA of Hemicordylus capensis (graceful crag lizard), 619 nucleotides long. RefSeq lists it as uncharacterized. NCBI's taxonomy places the organism in Eukaryota, Metazoa, Chordata, Lepidosauria, Squamata, Cordylidae. The transcript is spliced from 3 exons. The record is from RefSeq and is a predicted model, not a curated record.